RNAcentral lists this ribosomal RNA (253 nucleotides) under uncultured bacterium. RNAcentral's name for it is "partial 16S ribosomal RNA". It matches the Rfam family "Bacterial small subunit ribosomal RNA", at positions 524 to 776 of the family's 1533-position model. The record is from RNAcentral.
UACGAAGGGGGCUAGCGUUGUUCGGAAUUCCUGGGCGUAAAGGGCGCGUAGGCGGUACUUCAAGGCAGGCGUGAAAGCCCCGGGCUCAACCUGGGAACCGCGCUUGAGACUGGAGAACUAGAGUUCGGGAGAGGAUGGUGGAAUUCCCAGUGUAGAGGUGAAAUUCGUAGAUAUUGGGAAGAACACCGAUGGCGAAGGCAGCCAUCUGGACCGACACUGACGCUGAGGCGCGAAAGCGUGGGGAGCAAACAGG